AAGACUAUACUUCACAGGAUCAUUUCUGUAGUCAGUCUUCACUUACUUUCACACUCUCUGAAAGCAAGUCACACCCGCGUUGAUGAGAUGAAUCGUUUUAUUCGGCAGCGUGAGGAUUUGCGUGAUGCCCUUUGCGAUGUGAUUUAUCACUCGUUUUGUGGGCGUGGCGCUUCGAUGAUCGCUCGGUAACACGAAUAGAACGAAUUCUGAGUGGU
Small nucleolar RNA from Drosophila novamexicana, 215 nucleotides. RefSeq annotates it as small nucleolar RNA U3. Lineage: Eukaryota; Metazoa; Arthropoda; Insecta; Diptera; Drosophilidae. The transcript has a single exon. The record is from RefSeq and is a predicted model, not a curated record.